RNAcentral lists this ribosomal RNA (429 nucleotides) under uncultured bacterium. RNAcentral's name for it is "partial 16S ribosomal RNA". It matches the Rfam family "Bacterial small subunit ribosomal RNA", at positions 338 to 795 of the family's 1533-position model. The record is from RNAcentral.
CCUACGGGUGGCUGCAGUAACGAAUCUUCCGCAAUGCACGAAAGUGUGACGGAGCGACGCCGCGUGUAGGACGAAGCCCUUCGGGGUGUAAACUACUGUCAGGGGAAAGAUCUACCCCAGAGGAAGAGACGGCUAACUCUGUGCCAGCAGCCGCGGUAAGACAGAGGUCUCGAGCGUUAGGCGGAAUCACUGGGCUUAAAGCGUGUGUAGGUGGAUUUGUAAGUACCUUGUGAAAUCCCACGGCUUAACCGUGGAACUGCUUGGUAUACUGCUUAUCUUGGGCCAUCUAGGGGUUACCGGAACAAACGGUGGAGCGGUGAAAUGCGUAGAUAUCGUUUGGAACGCCAAUGGUGAAAACAGGUAACUGGGAGUGCCGACACUGAGACACGAAAGCCAGGGGAGCGAACGGGAUUAGAUACCCUUGUAGUC